GUUACUGUGGAUCAAGGUGGAUCAUCCUCUUCUUGUUGACAAAAUGGCUUGAGAUUGUGAGGAAGGCGUGGGUUCAAACCCCACCAGCAGUA
This is a non-coding RNA of Mycena leptocephala, 92 nucleotides long. Lineage: Eukaryota; Fungi; Basidiomycota; Agaricomycetes; Agaricales; Mycenaceae. The record is from the annotation of a GenBank genome assembly.